GUCUAUAGGCAUACCACCCUGAACACGCCCAGUUGUGUCUGAUCUCAGAAGCUAAGCAGGGUGAGGCCUGGUUAGUAUUUGGAUGGCAGAAAGGUACAAAUUUUAAAACU
Molecule: ribosomal RNA, 110 nt
Filed under: Castor canadensis (American beaver)
Lineage: Eukaryota; Metazoa; Chordata; Mammalia; Rodentia; Castoridae
Source: RNAcentral